GGGGAUCCGUGCGCGGAUGUCCCGGCGAGUCCCGGGCUGAAAGAGGCGGCUCCGGGCGGCGCGGAGCGCUGGUGGCGGGCCCGGGCUGCGGCGUGUGCGCGCCCGCCAGCUGCUCCGGAGAUACGGAAUUGCAUUUUGUGAAAAAAGAACAAGAAUUUUCUGCAAGGAUCAUAUCUAAGUGCACUUUUUGCUGAUACUUCAUUUCUAAUCUUGUAGAAAAUUUCAGCUGUAGCCCUUGGACUAGAAGCUGAAAUAACAGAAGCUGUGUACGAUGCAUUAGGGUAUUGAAGAAAAUUAACUUUUGAAUUAAAUAUUUGGAAUAUAAGGAAAUAAGGAAAGGUGACUGAAAAUGGGGCGGAAGAAAAUACAAAUCACACGCAUAAUGGAUGAAAGGAACCGACAGGUCACUUUUACAAAGAGAAAGUUUGGAUUAAUGAAGAAAGCCUAUGAACUUAGUGUGCUCUGUGACUGUGAAAUAGCACUCAUCAUUUUCAACAGCUCUAACAAACUGUUUCAAUAUGCUAGCACUGAUAUGGACAAAGUUCUUCUCAAGUAUACAGAAUAUAAUGAACCUCAUGAAAGCAGAACCAACUCGGAUAUUGUUGAGACUUUAAGAAAGAAAGGCCUUAAUGGUUGUGAGAGCCCUGAUGCUGACGAUUACUUUGAGCACAGUCCACUCUCGGAGGACAGAUUCAGCAAACUAAAUGAAGAUAGUGAUUUUAUUUUCAAACGAGGCCCUGUAAGUACUUUUACUUUACCUCUACUUUUUAUUUGUUGAUCCUUUUUGUUAACUUCAUUAUUUAGGCUCUGAACAAGAAGGAACACAGAGGGUGCGACAGCCCAGACC
This 847-nucleotide small RNA is filed under the name Pan troglodytes (chimpanzee). Its description in RNAcentral is "retained intron". The record is from RNAcentral. Lineage: Eukaryota; Metazoa; Chordata; Mammalia; Primates; Hominidae.